Molecule: long non-coding RNA, 1314 nt
Filed under: Anas platyrhynchos (mallard)
Lineage: Eukaryota; Metazoa; Chordata; Aves; Anseriformes; Anatidae
Description: lncRNA (ENSAPLG00020000289.1)
Source: RNAcentral
GGGCGGCUCCCGCUGCGGCCCGGCUGCGGCAGCAGCAGCGGGGGGCUGGGGGGGGCUCGGGGCCCGGCUGGGGCGAGCCGGGUCGCGUUAUCCCGAGCCCAACCGAGCCCAACCGAGCCGGCCAUGGCCCUGCUGCGAGCCGCCCCUUUACCCACCGAGCCUGCACCCUGCUGGCUGCCCACCCACGUCCAGGUGACGGCGGUGCGGGCCCGGGGGCUGCGCUGCAAGGGCGGUGGCAGCACCGGGGGAAGCAGCAGCACCACCACCAGCAGCAGCAGCAAUAGCAGCCCAGCAGCGGGGCCCGGCGAUGUGUACGCCGUGCUGGAGCUGGGCCGGCAGCGGCAUCCGCACGGCCGUGGCGGAGCGGAGCGGGGGCAGCGCAGAGUGGCAAGGAGGAGGGCUGCGCCCUGGAGCUGCCCCCCGAGUCCGGCUCGCCCCCCAUCCUCACCAUCACCGUGCUGCAGAGAGCCCUGCUGGGUGCCGACCGGUUCCUGGGGCGCUGCAGCCUGGUACUGCCCUGCCCGGCCCCCCCACGAGCGAGCGUGGAGCUGGGGUGGCACAAGCUCCACUCCAAGGCUGGGAAGAAGGAGAAGGAGCGGGGCGAGGUGGAAGUGAGCGUGCAGUUCACGCGCAGCAGCCUGACGGCCAGCAUGUUCGACCUGUCCGCCAAGGACAAACCGCGCUCGCCCUUCGGCAAGCUGAAGGACAAGAUGAAAGGCAAGAAGAAAUACGACCUGGAGUCGGCCUCUGCCAUCAUCCCCAGCAGCGUGGGCGCCCUCGACGUGGAGGAUGACUUCGACGUCGGGGCCAAGAAGUCCAAAAUUAAAGGGUUUCCUGAAGAGCAAGCUGCGCAAAUCGUCCCUGACGCAGUCCAACACCUCGCUGGGCUCCGACAGCACCAUCUCCUCGGCCAGCCUGGGUCCCGGCUGCAAACGAGGGAACCAAAUCCCCCAGCAGACACAGCAGCCUGUCCACGGAGCGCUCUGGUAAGAGGAUCAGGGCUUUAAAUCCCCCUCCCAGCCUUUUUUUUCCCCUUUUCUUUGUUGCUGCAAACCUGGUCGCUAAUUCCUUCCCUAAGGAGCAGCGUCCCGCACAAGCCCCCCCGAGACCUUCUCCGUGCUUGCUAGAAUGGGGGAAAACACCCAAAUUUUUGCUUUUAAUGCCAAGCCUGUGUGCAGACAGCCGUGCUCCGGGGCUGGUUUGCGCUGCUGUGUGCACGCCACGAGCCCGCAGUGCCACCAACCCUAUAGGCAACAGGUUGCAGGGGUUGUGUGGGGCUGUUUCUCCCUUGACACCCCAAAACUGGUCACAAAC